GACGAACGCUGGCGGCGUGCCUAAUACAUGCAAGUUGAGCGCUGAAGGUUGGUACUUGUCCCGACUGGAUGAGCAGCGAACGGGUGAGUAACGCGUGGGGAAUCUGCCUUUGAGCGGGGGACAACAUUUGGAAACGAAUGCUAAUACCGCAUAAAAACUUUAAACACAAGUUUUAAGUUUGAAAGAUACAAUUGCAUCACUCAAAGAUGAUCCCGCGUUGUAUUAGCUAGUUGGUGAGGUAAAGGCUCACCAAGGCGAUGAUACAUAGCCGACCUGAGAGGGUGAUCGGCCACAUUGGGACUGAGACACGGCCCAAACUCCUACGGGAGGCAGCAGUAGGGAAUCUUCGGCAAUGGACGAAAGUCUGACCGAGCAACGCCGCGUGAGUGAAGAAGGUUUUCGGAUCGUAAAACUCUGUUGGUAGAGAAGAACGUUGGUGAGAGUGGAAAGCUCAUCAAGUGACGGUAACUACCCAGAAAGGGACGGCUAACUACGUG
RNAcentral lists this ribosomal RNA (497 nucleotides) under uncultured bacterium. RNAcentral describes it as "partial 16S ribosomal RNA". It matches the Rfam family "Bacterial small subunit ribosomal RNA", at positions 28 to 507 of the family's 1533-position model. The record is from RNAcentral.